This 301-nucleotide ribosomal RNA is filed under the name uncultured bacterium. RNAcentral describes it as "partial 16S ribosomal RNA". It matches the Rfam family "Bacterial small subunit ribosomal RNA", at positions 509 to 807 of the family's 1533-position model. The record is from RNAcentral.
CAGCCGCCACGGGAAUACGAAGGGGGCUAGCGUUGUUCGGAUUUACUGGGCGUAAAGGGCGCGUAGGCGGGCGAAUAAGUCAGGGGUGAAAUCCCAAGGCUCAACCUUGGAACUGCCUUUGAUACUGUUUGUCUUGAGUUCGAGAGAGGUAAGUGGAACUGCGAGUGUAGAGGUGAAAUUCGUAGAUAUUCGCAAGAACACCAGUGGCGAAGGCGGCUUACUGGCUCGAAACUGACGCUGAGGCGCGAAAGCGUGGGGAGCAAACAGGAUUAGAUACCCCGGUAGUCCCUGUCUCUUAUAC